CUUGAUCGAGCCCAGCCGCAGCGGGCUGUUCUCGGGACGGCCCUGGCCGUACGUCGCGAGCAGGGCCUGCGCCUC
RNAcentral lists this antisense RNA (75 nucleotides) under Amycolatopsis saalfeldensis. Its description in RNAcentral is "ASpks TB sRNA". It matches the Rfam family "ASpks TB sRNA". Lineage: Bacteria; Bacillati; Actinomycetota; Actinomycetes; Pseudonocardiales; Pseudonocardiaceae. The record is from Rfam by way of RNAcentral.